UCGGGAAUUUUGCCCAAUGGACGAAAGUCUGAGGCAGCAACUCCGCGUGAGGGACGAAGGCCUUCGGGUCGUAAACCUCUUUUCUCAGGGAAGAUACAAGACGGUACCUGAGGAAUAAGCCACGGCUAACUACGUGCCAGCAGCCGCGGUAAUACGUAGGUGGCGAGCGUUGUCCGGAUUUACUGGGCGUAAAGCGCGCGCAGGCGGCUGGUCAAGUCCGAUGUGAAAGCUCGCGGCUCAACUGGGAAAAUGCAUCGGAAACUGACCGGCUUGAAGGUGGGAGAGGGUAGUGGAAUUCCCGGUGUAGUGGUGAAAUGCGUAGAUAUCGGGAGGAACACCAGUGGCGAAGGCGACUACCUGGCCCACUCUUGACGCUGAGGCGCGAAAGCUAGGGGAGCGAACGG
Molecule: ribosomal RNA, 404 nt
Filed under: uncultured bacterium
Lineage: Bacteria
Description: bacterial SSU rRNA
Rfam family: Bacterial small subunit ribosomal RNA
Source: RNAcentral